RNAcentral lists this long non-coding RNA (355 nucleotides) under Pan troglodytes (chimpanzee). RNAcentral's name for it is "long non-coding RNA NONPTRT003359". The record is from RNAcentral. Lineage: Eukaryota; Metazoa; Chordata; Mammalia; Primates; Hominidae.
CCAGAGCCCUCAGUAUACAGACCUUGGCCAUCAGUAUGCAUACUCUCUGGUGUGGUUUCUGGGCCUCAGAUCCUCUAUAUAUUGUUAUUUAGAGAAACUAGGCAUUCCCUACCUCUCUUAGGCAAACCUAUAGCUAUGUAACAUGGCAACGGAAUGACACUAACUGUCUCAUUCUCCUUGGGAGUGCUCUCUGUAUGUUCAGUCUCCCAGUGAAGAGAAUCCUUCUAUCAGGACCUUCAUCAUCAUACAAAAGGAAUAUCUAUGCCAGGCCACAGCUUCAGAUUAGUGAGUGUCUGAGAACUGCAUCUUUUCUGUUAUUUUUCUGCUUGAAAGUUUUUCACCAAUAAAUCCUACA